UUAAGCAUAUCAGUAAGCAGAGGAAAAGAAAACAACUGUGAUUCCCUUAGUAACUGCGAGUGAAGCGGGAAAAGCCCAUCGUUUAAUCUUCCCGGACUAUGGACGGGACGAAAUGUAACGGUAUGGAUAGGUUCUCUACCAGCAAUGUCUGAUCAAAGUCCUCCGGAUUGAGGUGCCUAAGAGGGUGACAGCCCCGUGUGUGAUUGGACAGAACUGGGUAUGUGGCCGAUUCCGAGAGUCGGGUUGUUUGGGACUGCAACCUAAAGUAGGUGGUAAACUCCACCCAAGGCUAAAUAUUGACACGAAACCGAUAGCGAACAAGUACUGUGAAGGAAAGUUGAAAAGAACUCUGAAAAGAGAGUUAAAAGUACGUGAAACCGCUAACGGGGAAGCGGAAGGCAGUGUCGAGAUUGAGUGAGUGAGUUGGUUCAAGUGUGUUUGGUGUGUCGUGUUUGCGGUGUGUAAUGUGCAUUUGAAUCGGCUAGCUUUGCUUGAUGCGUCAGGACUAUUGGUGUGCGAUGGUUCAAUUGUUGGCAUGGCUUCCACGAUAAUUGCUUUUGUGAUUCCGUGGUUGCGGCUGAUGAUCCGCCUCGUGUGCUGAUAUGUAUGAGAUGGAGCGUUGGUGAUGUAUUGUCGGUUGGUGCUGCGCGGUGCUUCGUUCUGGUCACAUUGUGGCUACGUGCGGAGAAGUCGUGUGGUGGUUCAACAACCAGUGCUAGCUCCUGACGUGAUACCUAACUUUC
Molecule: ribosomal RNA, 743 nt
Filed under: Kudoa konishiae
Lineage: Eukaryota; Metazoa; Cnidaria; Myxozoa; Multivalvulida; Kudoidae
Description: eukaryotic LSU rRNA
Rfam family: Eukaryotic large subunit ribosomal RNA
Source: RNAcentral